UACGUAGGGUGCAAGCGUUAUCCGGAAUUAUUGGGCGUAAAGAGCUCGUAGGCGGUUUGUCGCGUCUGCUGUGAAAACUGGAGGCUCAACCUCCAGCCUGCAGUGGGUACGGGCAAACUAGAGUGCGGUAGGGGAGAUUGGAAUUCCUGGUGUAGCGGUGGAAUGCGCAGAUAUCAGGAGGAACACCGGUGGCGAAGGCGGGUCUCUGGGCAGUAACUGACGCUGAGGAGCGAAAGCGUGGGGAGCGAACAGG
Molecule: ribosomal RNA, 253 nt
Filed under: uncultured bacterium
Lineage: Bacteria
Description: partial 16S ribosomal RNA
Rfam family: Bacterial small subunit ribosomal RNA
Source: RNAcentral